AUACGUAGGAUGCAAGCGUUGUCCGGAAUUACUGGGCGUAAAGGGUCCGUAGGCGGUUUGUUAAGUCUUCUGUGAAAGUUCAGGGCUCAACCCUGAAAUGUCGGGGGAUACUGGCAAACUUGAGACUGUCAGAGGCAAGUGGAAUUCCCGGUGUAGUGGUGAAAUGCGUAGAUAUCGGGAGGAACACCAGUGGCGAAAGCGGCUUGCUGGGACAGUUCUGACGCUGAGGCGCGAAAGCGUGGGGAGCAAACCGGAUUAGAAACCCCGGUAGUCC
Molecule: ribosomal RNA, 274 nt
Filed under: uncultured bacterium
Lineage: Bacteria
Description: partial 16S ribosomal RNA
Rfam family: Bacterial small subunit ribosomal RNA
Source: RNAcentral